GCUGACGAGUGGCGGACGGGUGAGUAAUGUCUGGGAAACUGCCUGAUGGAGGGGGAUAACUACUGGAAACGGUGGCUAAUACCGCAUAACGUCGCAAGACCAAAGAGGGGGACCUUCGGGCCUCUUGCCAUCAGAUGUGCCCAGAUGGGAUUAGCUUGUUGGUGAGGUAACGGCUCACCAAGGCGACGAUCCCUAGCUGGUCUGAGAGGAUGACCAGCCACACUGGAACUGAGACACGGUCCAGACUCCUACGGGAGGCAGCAGUGGGGAAUAUUGCACAAUGGGCGCAAGCCUGAUGCAGCCAUGCCGCGUGUAUGAAGAAGGCCUUCGGGUUGUAAAGUACUUUCAGCGGGGAGGAAGGUGUUGCGGUUAAUAACCGCAGCAAUUGACGUUACCCGCAGAAGAAGCACCGGCUAACUCCGUGCCAGCAGCCGCGGUAAUACGGAGGGUGCAAGCGUUAAUCGGAAUUACUGGGCGUAAAGCGCACGCAGGCGGUCUGUCAAGUCGGAUGUGAAAUCCCCGGGCUCAACCUGGGAACUGCAUUCGAAACUGGCAGGCUUGAGUCUUGUAGAGGGGGGUAGAAUUCCAGGUGUAGCGGUGAAAUGCGUAGAGAUCUGGAGGAAUACCGGUGGCGAAGGCGGCCCCCUGGACAAAGACUGACGCUCAGGUGCGAAAGCGUGGGGAGCAAACAGGAUUAGAUACCCUGGUAGUCCACGCCGUAAACGAUGUCUACUUGGAGGUUGUGCCCUUGAGGCGUGGCUUCCGGAGCUAACGCGUUAAGUAGACCGCCUGGGGAGUACGGCCGCAAGGUUAAAACUCAAAUGAAUUGACGGGGGCCCGCACAAGCGGUGGAGCAUGUGGUUUAAUUCGAUGCAACGCGAAGAACCUUACCUGGUCUUGACAUCCACAGAACUUUCCAGAGAUGGAUUGGUGCCUUCGGGAACUGUGAGACAGGUGCUGCAUGGCUGUCGUCAGCUCGUGUUGUGAAAUGUUGGGUUAAGUCCCGCAACGAGCGCAACCCUUAUCCUUUGUUGCCAGCGGUCCGGCCGGGAACUCAAAGGAGACUGCCAGUGAUAAACUGGAGGAAGGUGGGGAUGACGUCAAGUCAUCAUGGCCCUUACGACCAGGGCUACACACGUGCUACAAUGGCGCAUACAAAGAGAAGCGACCUCGCGAGAGCAAGCGGACCUCAUAAAGUGCGUCGUAGUCCGGAUUGGAGUCUGCAACUCGACUCCAUGAAGUCGGAAUCGCUAGUAAUCGUGGAUCAGAAUGCCACGGUGAAUACGUUCCCGGGCCUUGUACACACCGCCCGUCACACCAUGGGAGUGGGUUGCAAAAGAAGUAGGUAGCUUAACCUUCGGGAGGGCGCUUACCACUUUGUGAUUCAUGACUGGGGUGAAGUCGUAACAAGGUAACCGUAGGGGAACCUGCGGUUG
Molecule: ribosomal RNA, 1436 nt
Filed under: Salmonella enterica subsp. enterica serovar Reading
Lineage: Bacteria; Pseudomonadati; Pseudomonadota; Gammaproteobacteria; Enterobacterales; Enterobacteriaceae
Description: bacterial SSU rRNA
Rfam family: Bacterial small subunit ribosomal RNA
Source: RNAcentral